RNAcentral lists this ribosomal RNA (253 nucleotides) under uncultured bacterium. RNAcentral's name for it is "partial 16S ribosomal RNA". It matches the Rfam family "Bacterial small subunit ribosomal RNA", at positions 524 to 776 of the family's 1533-position model. The record is from RNAcentral.
UACGGAGGGUGCAAGCGUUAUCCGGAUUCACUGGGCGUAAAGGGUGCGUAGGCGGGUUUUUAAGUCAGGGGUGAAAUCCUGGAGCUCAACUCCAGAACUGCCUUUGAUACUGAAGAUCUUGAGUCCGGGAGAGGUGAGUGGAACUGCGAGUGUAGAGGUGAAAUUCGUAGAUAUUCGCAAGAACACCAGUGGCGAAGGCGGCUCACUGGCCCGGUACUGACGCCGCGGCACGAAAGCGUGGGGAGCAAACAGG